This 253-nucleotide ribosomal RNA is filed under the name uncultured bacterium. RNAcentral describes it as "partial 16S ribosomal RNA". It matches the Rfam family "Bacterial small subunit ribosomal RNA", at positions 524 to 776 of the family's 1533-position model. The record is from RNAcentral.
UACGUAGGUGGCAAGCGUUAUCCGGAUUUAUUGGGCGUAAAGGGAACGCAGGCGGUCUUUUAAGUCUGAUGUGAAAGCCUUCGGCUUAACCGGAGUAGUGCAUUGGAAACUGGGAGACUUGAGUGCAGAAGAGGAGAGUGGAACUCCAUGUGUAGCGGUGAAAUGCGUAGAUAUAUGGAAGAACGCCAGUGGCGAAGGCGGCUCUCUGGUCUGUAACUGACGCUGAGGUUCGAAAGCGUGGGUAGCAAACAGG